AUCGCCUGGGAAUCUCCUAACAUCGUUUAACAAAUGACAAAUAACCAGGGCAAGGGACACGACUGCAUUCCCCUUUAACCAACCAGGGUCAUUGGGUAGCUGGAAUAUCACCUGGGAGAGAAAGAUAACUGGGAUGCACGAAACGAAACGAAAUGUAAAAUACACUCCAGUGUGCUUGCCGGGACAAAUCCCCAGGAGAAGAAAAUGUAUAGUGCAGAGACUUGGAAGCCAUGAAAGGAGUUAUUAGCCAGCUGGGCAAAGGGAGUGACAUUUGGUUGAGGCAGGGUGUGGGCACAGCUCUCCAGGCAAUCUGGCUUACGUCUUCCCUACUAUUUGGCAAACUCAUAUACCCUUCCUUCUUCUUCACUCCCCCUCAUAUCUGAAGUCGUCAUCUCGGGGCAAGAUGAUUUAGUAUACAUUUCGCAUAAUGUGACUUAGGUAGCUUUCCAAGCAAGACAGACCCCCUGGAAAAGAGCUCCAGGUCAAGAAGCAGUUUCGUGUGUCCGCUCUGGCUCAGACCUGGUCUGAUGGACCUCAACCAUGUCUAGCGUCCUUGUGUCCCUAAAACCUUCCUUUGUACUUUGAGGUGAGCCAGAAUCAAAUUGCAACCUCUUUAGAUAGGGGAGAGUUGAGAACAUGAGACGCAGGCUUCAUUUUCCUCGCAGAGCCAAGGAGCUCUCAAGGCCCGCACAGAAGAAAAGCCUCCAGCCACCUUCUCUGUUUACUGCAUCUAUUUAGGGGAAGGUCAGGGUUUCCUCACCCUGAUAAAGGAUGGAGAACACAGCGCUUGUUCCCAGGCGACUCUUGUGUUUUUAGCUUUCUUUGUUCUCAGGUGUCUGACCUGCUUUUGUCAGGCUAAAGUUCAGGAGCCAUCUGUAAGGCGUUCUUCAGGGUAACAAGGACAAAGAUGAGAUCCAUGUGCCCACUCAGGCGCACAGAUAAAUCCAGCCUAUUUCUUAGCACGACCCACCUACCCACCCCAUCCUAUGUCAGCCUUGUGAUUUGCCUUCCACUUUUGUCAGGACCAUGAGUCAGGGAUGCUAGGAGGGCAGUGAGGUUAGCUGUGAUGAGGUUAGUGACACUAGCCUUUGGAGGUGGUGAAGGCAUGCUUACAUCCAUUCCAUUCCGUUUCCUAUGCUGUUUGCAUUCCGGGCAUUAUUAUCAUGAAAACGGAUUUGCGUGUGCCAUUUCCUGUUCUCUUUACACUUUGUAUCAUGAGAAGAAGGUACCAGGUUUAAACACAACGCAUUAAAACUGUCUGCAGUAACUCUUUGUAGUGUGACUCUUCACACACGGUGUUGUUUCUGUCCAAAAAGUAAAGGCAAUGGCCUCUAGGAUUAUAAAUGAUGCUGUGCUAUGUGGCUUGGGGUUAGGAUGGAAACUGACUAUGCCUUCCCUCUAUGUCCUACCCCACCUUCCACAACUCUCCUGCGAUGCUGCGAGUUGCAUCUGCACAUAUCCGAAUCCACUUCCUAUGCCCACUUUUGUGAACAGCCCCAAUGACAUUCCAUGUGACAGUCAGACUGUAUCAGAGAAGAGGCAAGGCUGAGCCACUUCCAAUUAUCAUCAAAGAAUUUCUCCACCAUUUACUGUGCUGAGACUGGAGGGUGUUGAUACAGGUGAGAUCAAAAAUAGAACAUGGUAUAAUAAGAACCUAUGCUCCCUGCAGUGCGUAAAAUCAGAAUAGCUAAUGACACAACCCUUUCAAGUUCUUCUUUUUGAAAGGUGGGUUUAGCUCUCUAGAAAGCUGCUGAGUUGACAGCUCAGAGUCCUAUGGAGGGAAAACUGCUAAGCUAUUUCCUUGCUUCCCCAAGCAUACCUUCAGCUUGCCCUGGAGGGCUGUCUCAAGAUAAGACAGGUUAGUUCUUCCUCCGAGGUCUUUUAGUCUUUGAGUGCAGGAAUAGGUGUGUUAUCCAAGCUGAUUAUGAGGAAUAUUUCAAGAUGGAGUUACAGUGUUGCAGCACACAUCAAGGCUGAAAUUGACAGAACACUUCAUACAGGUGCCUGCAAAAGCACUCAGCAAGAGUCAGUUGGAAACCAUGCAUGUCUUCUUAUAAGCAGACUCAUCAGAUCUGCAAGUGAGUUUUGCAGCACACAGUUCAUGGGGGAAGUUCUAAGAGCUUGGCUUUCAGUGCAUUAUAAAGUUAAACACUCACUUCCUAACCUGUACUUGAUUAUGAAGUCCCAGUCAUUGCUAACACUGUUGCUGAUGUACCUGUCUUUCAUGAGCUCAGCGGAGCUCAGAGCAAUGCGGCUGAGAGGGGGGAACUCUCGACAUCAAUCAUGGGUAGAGAAUAUGGAGGCAGCCAGGCUUUCAGGACAUGACUUAGCUGAUACUGGGAUACUUUGUUCUACAGAUCUAUUAAAAUAUGUUCAAGAGUUCUCAAAGUCUAUGUGAUUUGGUUGUGAGCUUCUAAAUGUAUUCUUCUNNNNNNNNNNNNNNNNNNNNNNNNNNNNNNNNNNNNNNNNNNNCUCACUCUCUGUCUGUCUGUCUUUUUCCCUCUUCCUUUGCUAUUCUCAUGUGAAUUGAGCAUAUUCUGUCUCUGACUCAUGCUGUCAAAUGUUUCUCUGAUUUGCUGCUUUGUCUGCCCCUCAAUUAGAUAUCACUUUCAAACAUGGUUGUUUCCUUCUAUGAACUAACCACAGAUUCAUUGUUAGGGAUUAAAGGUAUGUACUAAGGGUAUGUCUGUAUUCCAGCCAGAUAAUACUGUAAUCUAGCACAUAUCUGGACUGAUCAUAUCUUUGGAUGUGAUCCCUUGCCAUGAGCAGCCAUGUUUCUGGAUUAGAGUUCCUCUACAUACGACCCAUGUUCAGGUACCAGCACACAUGCGGUGCCUCAUGAUCAUACACAACUCCAUUUCCAGGGGACUAGAUAUACAUGUACUAUAUUCAUAAAUAUAGGCAUGCAAAUAUACUUCGACU
RNAcentral lists this long non-coding RNA (2922 nucleotides) under Mus pahari (shrew mouse). RNAcentral describes it as "lncRNA (MGP_PahariEiJ_G0005952.1)". Lineage: Eukaryota; Metazoa; Chordata; Mammalia; Rodentia; Muridae. The record is from RNAcentral.